Molecule: long non-coding RNA, 43593 nt
Filed under: Coffea arabica (coffee)
Lineage: Eukaryota; Viridiplantae; Streptophyta; Magnoliopsida; Gentianales; Rubiaceae
Description: long non-coding RNA (CARA_LNC006314)
Source: RNAcentral
UUUUUUUUUUUUUGGUUUGUCUUGUACAUAAUCUGGAACCCUUUGUUUGGUUUGUUUGAUGCUAUGUUUCCUUGCUAAAGAUUGAAGCUUGAUGUUUGUUUGAGAUUUUAAUCAUGUUCAGAAAAGAACAACUAGUCUUGUAAAUCAAGGAGGUUGGAGAAAGCUCCAUCUGUUCGUGCAAUUAAUAAAAAAGGCAGCAAGCAUGGCUGGUCUACCGCUGCAGGGUUGUCCCCAUUCCCUCGUUUGAUUAAUUACAUAUUUUGCUCUAGAUUUUCUGUUUCCAAACACUAGAUGAUGUGGCUAAUGUCGGACAGAUCAGGAUCAGAAGAUUAGGAUGGUUUUGCUUGUUAGAAUUGCAAGUUGUGAUUUUGUUUUGCCAAAGGUUGCAGCUAGUGUUAUUGCUAAAAUUAUGUGCCUGACUGUCAAAUUGUUGUGGUUUUUGACGUUUGAAAUCAUAGUUUACUGUUCGAUUGAGAAGUUGGCUAUGUUUGAAUGGGAAAACUACACCUAGGGGACACUCUAAGCGUGCCUAAUCACAGCUGAAAUUGUAUAGCCUUGUUAAAUGGAUGUCUUGCAUGGUCUUUUGUAUGUAUUUCUGGUUUUAAAACACAAAGCUUUCAUGGUGGAAGUGGGUGAAUGUUGAUGACCGUAUUGCUUUGGCUGUUGAAACAUUGAAAUAUUGUUUGUUUGAGUUGAAAAGCAAGCUACGGCUGGAACAGUGUAGGAAGCUGCACAUUAUCUUCAUAUUUCGCUGUUUGUUUUCUUCAGUAGCAGCUCACAAAACUGGUUUUAAUCUUCUUUUGAUAGUUUAAUUUGGUGCUGAAGAAAUGAAAUGGAAGGUUUGGUGUUGAGUUUGUGUGUUUGGGUCUAAAAGUAUUGGAACUACGAUCGAAAGCUGGCUGAAAACAGAUUUUCUGAUUGCCGAAAGUUGCAUGAAGUUGUGUUUGUCUUCCUUGUUCUUGCUGUCUUCUUUUUCCGCAGCGGCUCUCCAAAAAGAAAACUGGUUUUAGUCAUCUAGUUUACUACUUAAGCUUUGUGUUUAAAUGAUCAGUGGUGAAAUUGCAUGCUUAAUCCGAAAACUAUGAAUUGUUGAAUGAGAAAGCCAUGCAGUUUGAAGCUGCAUAUUUGCAGCAGAGGAAGAUUUUGCAGAAGCUGAAGUUUUCGUAUGCAUGCAUGAAACAAUCUUUAAAAAUUUCACUUUAACCUCCCUAAGUUCCCUUUUGUUCUACUAUGACCCAAUAAAUUGAAUAAUCCCCUCAAUUUGGUCCUUGAUAGUUUUAAUUUUUGCAACUUCAUUACUUGUUUACUUCAAUUAGCCACUUUGCUUUGUUUAAUUGCUUUUAAUUCUUAAUUCUAAGGGCUUUCGGACCAAGCGAGCUUGCGUUUACAUACUUUCUUUAAUUUUUCCAAAUAAAUUGGUACCUUGACCAUUUCUUUUAUUUGGAAGACAAAUAAGUGACUUCACCCCAUUAGAGCUCCAUUUCAAGGGAGGUAUAAUUUCUUUUAUCUUUUGUCUCUCCUAUGUGAUCCAACGUGUUAAAUGUGAAUUGCAUGUCUACUUUGCAUUCCUUACUUUGCUUUAAUUCCUUUCAUUUAUUUUUGCUUUCAUUUAUUCUUUAUGGGGUAUGUGUACACCUCUUGGCUUGUAAUAGACAGGGCUUGGCGAGCAUUUUUGUCCAUUUUUCCUUCCCCUUUUGUUUUAGUUAGCAAAUGUAAUGGUUGCAUGCCUAUGUGUUAUAUGUUAAAUGCUUUACUAGGAUCUUGCAUCUAGUCGAGCAUGCUAAGUGUUAAGUGCUACGUGUUUAUAAGUGUUUGGCAUGUCUACUCGCUUUCCAUAGCCUGAAUGAAUGUGAUGGAUGAAUGUACGUUUCCACUAGUCCAACGCUAGUCGGAAUUCAUAGAAUGGGCUAGUCCAACGCUAGACCCUUAGGGAUUUCCCCUCGUUAGCACAUAUUUGCAUGUUCAUUACAUGUCAUGCAUUCUUUUUUAGUUUUAUCAUUUUGCAUGCCCCUCGAACCCCUUUUCCCUCCAUUUUAGGAUUUUUGCAUUUCAUGCUAGCUAUAGGGUUCAUUUGAUUGAGAGUCCCCUUAAAUAUGGGAUAUAGACGAGUGUGGCUUUUUCUAAGCCUUAGCACGCUUGUAUCCUCUCUAUCAAAGGGCAAAUUGAGUCACGAUUUAGGUCUCCCCGUACCCAUUAUGCAUGAAUUCCCUAGGUUCAUGCAUCCACUCUAUCAUUACACUUUCAUUUUUUCAUCCCAUUUGCACACGUACACCUUUUAUCCCUUCACUUGCACACGAACACUUUGUCUCAUUUGCACAUAUGCAUUUUUUAUCCCUUUACUUGCACACGAGCACGUUUGCCUUCAUUUGCACACCUCUCAUAUUUUCUUUCCUUGUUUCAGCAUUCCACUUGCAUUAUUCGUGACCUCUUCGAAGGAUCGUUAUUGGGCUUCACAAUUAAUGUGAUUGGCACCACUUAACCUUUGAAGAGAAAUUUCCCCAAUACCCCUAGGUCUAGGGUUUGCAUUCAUGUAGUGCAUCCAAAUGUAAUAAAUUCUUUGGUUAAAACAAGAGAAUCUUUGAUUAAAUCAACGCAACUAGCCUUGGCUAGGUCGAAGGGGUGCCUUGGAUUUUUAUCCUUGCCUUCCCUUUCGCCAAAUGUGACUCCCGAACCUUUUUCUUUAUUUGCGUGGACUAGGAGUCGUUCAAAAGGGUUUCUUACUUUUUUUUCCUUAAAAAAUUCACUUUUUGGGUGACUUGGUACACCCUAACUCUAUACCAAGUGGCGACUCAAUUUUUCAUAUAAAAAACCCUUUUUGAACUAUUUUUCUUGGGUCAAAUCGUCGCAUUUUCAAAAGUCCCAUUUAGACCCAUUUUUCUUUUAAAUCACAAUUCAUUUUUCAAUCACAAAAUCCAUUUUUAAACCAUUUUAUUUAUUUUAUUCAAAAAAUGGGGCGCGACUGGGCAUAUGUUGAUAACUUCGUAAAGCGUGUUUCAUACUCAGCUACGCUUAAAGUUCCUUGAUGAAGCUUUAUAAAAUCAUCUUCUCUCUUUUUCUUGGACAAGUGGAGGAAGAAAUUUCUCAUUAAAUUCAAGCACGAAGUUUAUCCAAAUUCUCGGAGUUUGAUCUCUUUCCCACUUAUUUCUUAUAACAUUCCACCAUGCUCGGGCUGCUCCUUCAAGUUGAAAUACAGCAAAUGUGACUUGUCUCUCCUCUGUGUAAUCCAAGGCAUCGAAUAUAUUUCUUAUAUUUUCUAACCAAUUCUCAGCCACCUCUGGAUCAGGCCCUCCAGCAAACUUGGGCGGAGAGAAUUUCUGAAACCGCUCUAAAGCUCGAUCCUCCCCUAUCUCUUGGUUUCCACGUUGGUUUCCUUGUCCAACACCUUGACCUUGUUGAGCUACCAAGAGCUCUAGGAUAUCCGUCAUGCGAGUUAAAACUUGUCCUAUCUGGUCAUUUCCUCUCCCAGCACUUAGCUCAACGUUUUGAUCGAUAUCGGACCCAUUAGCUACUCUUUCAUUUCGGGGUUGUCUAGGUUGACGUCCCUUUCGUUGUCCUCUAGUUUCCAUGUCCACAACUAAUCUAUACGCACAUGCAUAACCCUCACACUUAGUUAAAUUGAACUACACUCAUAUACCAGUAGCAACAUUUAAAGAGGAUGAAGACACUUUCACAAAUAACAUUAUCACUAUGCAAGUAAACACAAACUAGAGUUCAUUAAAUCAUAACAUAAAUUAUGGCCAAGUAAAGUUCAUGCCAAGUCAAAGUCAAUAACAAAAAUAAACAAGUGAUUAUCACAAGUACAUUCAUCUCCAAGGCGCAAACUCUUAAGUUCUACUCCCAUCGUCUCACUAUGAAAGAUCACCAGUAGAGAUUCACUAGAUUAAUAGGAACUAGACGAUUCUCGUUCCCUAACAUGCUCGAUUUCAAUCCCAACACAAGGAUCUUUUGGGUUACGAUAUUUUCCAUCUUCCACUCUUAAUUAUUGUAUCAUCUUAACCAAACAAUUAUUGGUUUCCUGUAACCAUUCACAUGAAAUAUCGAUUCAUUCUUAUUCCCCACAAAUGGAGAUAUAAAGUCCCUAUGGUUGCUAUCAACUCUCAAAUACUCGGGUUCAAGAAUCCAAAAUAGGAUAAUUCACAUCUCGAGCCGGCCGGUCCCAAGAGUAAAUCACCACAUUCGAGAUUCCUACCCAACAUACAUAUCAAAUUCCCUCCAAUUAUCAAGAUAAAGGUUUUACAACCUAUAACAUUCAUGAUUCACAACUUACAUUUCUAGAAGGGCACUUAAGUCUUUACUUAAUCACAUAGUAAGGACCAAACACCACUUGGCCCUAUCUUGCUCCUUUGUAGAGACCACGUGAAGUGGCUCUAAAUUUCAUCACUACAAGCAAUCAUUUAACUUUCAGAAUAGUCCCACAGUCCGGCAUCCUAAACAUUUAAGCCUAGGAUACACUACAAAAUCUGAAGCCUAAGCUCUGAUACCAAUUGUGACGCCCCCACUUCUCCCUAAGGCGAACCAAAGGGUAUCCGCGGGACGCCUGCCCAGCUCUCGCCAGGACUCACUACAAUCCAUCAUUCAAAAGCUCGAAAUACUUUAAGUAACUUCAAUACAUAAUUAAAGUACUCCAAAUAUCUCACACUUACAAUUAUGCAGCUUCCAAGCUUAAAUACAACCCAACGGAAAAGGGUACAAUAGCCAUCCGUUAUAAUAUAACUUAAAGUUUUCAAAAAAAAACAAUCUAGUAUUACUCACGAGCACCCUUGGUCUCGAACCCUGUAAAAGAAAACCACAACGUGGGAUGAGCUACACAGCCCCAGUGAGGUUCCAAGACACUCUAACAGUUCAAAUAAAUCAAGUAAGUUGGCAUAUCAUAUGCAUGGUUCAAUGUUACACAAUGGCGUGUUAUCAUGAGGUGAUAAUCAUUGUACGAGUAAUUUGAGACAUUUAUCAUGGUAUGAGACAUUUAUCAUGAGACAGGUAUCAUGAUAUAAGUACAUUGGUCAGGUAACAGGUAUGGAGCAUAUCACAGGCAUAGUUCAGGAUUUCAUGUUGACAUUUUAGCAUGAAACAAUUAUCAUGAUACAAGGUAAACAUAUACGGUAGGAUACGGUGUUUCAGUGGAACUCUGUCGGUCAUCUGCACCUUAUGACUUCCGAUCCCCACGGUACGGUCUGGCCAUCGCCUUAUCCCUCCAGUGGUAAUACUCGAGUAUACCGAAACGGUGGCCCAGGGUUCCAACCUACCCGACCGAGCCCAGUCCUGGCUCGAGUAGGUCAGUAACCAAGGGCAGGGCCCAAGUUCAGCUUAGAGCUUACAACAUGCACAGGUAACCAAGUAAUUCGACAAAAGGUAAAAUUCAUCAUUUGAGUAGGUCGAGUGAGGUAAAGUACACACUCGCCUAAUAAUGAUGGACAACUUCAUAUAACAUGUGAUUCAUGAUAAUCAAGUAAUCAGGUGGUCAAGUAACCAAGUAAGUUGGUGAUCACGUAAGCAGAUAACCAAGUAAGCAAGUAACCAAAUAGAUUAGAAAACGGUAAGUAAACACACGGUUAACGGUAAACGGUAAACGUUAACGGUAGUAAUUACGGUUAAUUGGUAGACAUAUGUCAUUUCAAUAGGCCGCCAUUGGCCGUUUUUCACUUUCACCACGUAAGAGUCGAGGAGAUUUACUCCAACCGACUUAUGCUUCCAUAGCAUAAUUAAUCAUUUAAACACAUCAUGUAAAUAUGCUCUCCAAACAUUUCAUAUCUAGUAUUUCAAGUAAUCACAUAAGUAUGCUCUUUAAGCAUUUCAUAUCGAAUAGUUCAAAUAUACCUACUUCAGGUUUUCAUGUCAAGUAAUUCAAGUAUACAUUAUUCCAAUUACGUAUUCCUAUGGAACACUCACCUAGUCAAAACAAGCGAGUAGUUCUUAAACAAGCGUCUUAGGUGUCCGCUCCGAGUUCCUCUGGGAGAUUCCCUCGAGUGCCUGAGCAAACAAUAAUCAACUACCACUCAAAAUCAUUCUAAUUAUCGAGGAAAAUUUGUACACUAGUACAAUCUAAGAAAUUAACGCAAAGACGAGUCUAAGAGUUCGUGUAACUCGAGGUUCAAAAGUGGGUUUUAAAAUACAAGACAAAUCUGAUUUCCAUCUUUGAAAUCAAAUGUAAAACGAUCAAAUGAUAUUGAAGGAAAAUGGAGGGUUUGAAACCCUUAGUUUCCUUUAAGUUAGAAAAUUCCAGAUUUAACAAGCAAUAUUUGAAAAAUCAUAUUUCACUCUCCACAAGUCCAAAAUUGGAAAACUUGGUACUGUUGGAAUCCUCUUUCAAAGUACUAAAAGUUCUUAGAAGACACUUUUCCACGAAUGUAAGUGAAAGGCACUCAAAUUUUGGCUCAAAGUUGGUAACUUGAAUUACCAAGACAGAUUUAAGUUGGUUUUUGGCCAAAUUUAGAAAUUCGCAAAAUUCACUUGUUUUGAACUAACCUUUGAAAUUUGGAAAUCAAUUAGUGUUGCAAUCCAAGAGUAUAACAAAACAAGCGGAACGAGAAACGGAGUUUCGAGCACCAAGAUAUAGUACCUCCAAGUUGCUGAAAAAGUUAAGACUGUUGGGCUAUUUUCCAGGUUUAAAAACUAGAUUCGAAGUAUCAUUUGGUCAUCAAGUUGGCAUUAGAAAUACAUCAAACUUGGUACACUAAAUCUUCCAUAUGUAAACAAUGUUUCUACCAAGUUUCAUACGAAAACUCACACGGUAAGGUAGUCAUUAAAACAACCAAAGUUUAUGAAGAGUUUCAAGGCUAAACUACCUUCUCACUUUUCUUUUGUUUACAAACUUUUUGUACCAUGAAAUCAGUUUCAAAUCUCUCCAUUAUUGAAACCAAGAGUUCAUAAACAUCCACUGAGAAAUUUAAAGACCAUUGACAUCCAAAUUCUAGAAAUAAAACUCUCCAAAUCAGAUUUGACCAUUUGGCUAAGAGAAAACGAAAAGUUUUCCAGAUUCGAUGAGCGAAUUUUGUGACAUCAUUUGCAUAUCAAAAUGGUCUUAGAAUAUUACCAAAUUUUGUACAAUUAAACCUCCAUAUGAGGAUUACUCUUCUAUCAAAUUUCAUUUGAAAAUUCACACGGAAAGGUAGUUAACUAAACCAUCAAAGUUCAAGAAAUUUUCCAAGGUAAAACUGUCUUCUAGCUCUUCUUUCCUUUUUAAACAUUUUGUCCAAAGCAACCGACCCAAAUCUGGUUUAUUUGUAAAACAAAGUCCAAGGAACAUCUAAUAUAAAGUUUGGUAGAUGUCGGACAUCAAAGUUUCCAAAACAACAAGUCCCAAAUCAUUGUUAGUUACAAAUCUGUCCAAGUGGAAAAUUCUAUCACUGUAGCAGUUUCAAACUUUGGCCACAACUCACUCAAUUCAACUUGGAAUUGGACGUGUUGAUGGCGUUGGAAAGCUCUCUUAUAAAGCUGAAUUUUCUCAGAAGAAACCAUUUUCAAAUUCCAUUCACAAAUAGCUCGUGUAGACACCAAAUUUUGAAUAAUUUUAUGUAGCAUCUAUUUCAUGAUUUUCAUUUUAGAUUGCUUGCAUUUUAGUUCGUUAUUGUGUGUUUUGCACUAUUAGUUGUUAUGAUAUUUUAGUUUUAUUCAUUUUCGCCCUUUUAGUUGACCUAUUUCAUUUGCUAUUCAUUCUUAUUUACUUUUAGUUUUAGUUUUUAGUUUUUAGCUUUUAAGUUUAAGAUUAGUAUAGAGUUUUUUAGAAAAGAAAAGGAAAACAUCAAAAAUAUGUUUUAGUCAUUUUUAUUCAAUGCUUUCUUGGAAAAAAAGGAGAAAAAAGGAAAAUCAUAAAAAAAGAAAAAAAGAAGAAAAUUGUUCACAAAAAUACGUUCAAAUUCAAUCUUUGGGCACUUUAGUUAUUUUUAUCAAGUUAUUUUGAGAAAAAGAAAAUGAUAAAAAAUGAAAAAUUAAAAAAGUUAAAAAUGGCCAUUUUUGUUUAGUUUUUUGUUUAAAAUUAUUUUUGUUUUGUUAUUAUUAUUAUUACCUGGUUUUUGUCAAUUUGUUUUUAUUUAUAUUUUAUCAUUUCUAUAUUUAUUAAGUUGGAAGUUGAAAAAAAAAAAAAAAAAAAAAAGAGUAGCGGCAUGCAAGCUGCGUCAAAACGCACUUGCAGGGAAGGAUUUGCACGGAAGGACCUGGGGAUUUAGGCUGCAAAUACUGGAGAAAGUACCAGAGAUUCUUAGGGUAAGAAACAUCAUAUAAAAGCUAGAGAAAAGCCAGCCGCAAAGAGGAGAGGUAGAAAAAAAUACGGGGGAAACAAAGAGAAGAAAAACAACGGGCAAAGGAAAAAUAAGAGAGCAAGAGAGAAUUUUGGGAGGGCCGUAAGAAAGGAAGUGAAAAUCUGAGGGAAAAGGGGAAGAGAAAGUGAAAGGAAGAGCUGUGGGGGGAAAGCCACUAGAUCCGAGAAAGAGGAGGUUCAAAGAUUCAAAACCCAAUCUCAGGUUUCUUCAUUGGAGUCAGCGGCUGAUCUCUUCAUCGAACCCAAGUUUCAAGUCCAAAGGUGAAACAGGUAGUCUUCAACCCUUGUUCUUGUCUAUUUUUCUGGGUUUUUACUUAUGUUUGGAUGUUGAAUUACUGGAGUAAAAUUUGAUGCUUGGAUGUAUUGGGAGACAGUUUCGUUGUUUUUUUUUACAUCCAUUUCCCUUUCAUCAAUCAAAGUUGUCUCUUUUUGCUGUUUGCUGUGUUGGGCAUAACCGGGGCUGAUGGCACUUGUUUUUAUUACCAUUUUUGUUUCUAAACUCUAUUUUCCACCCAAGAAAUAACUAUACCUGCCCUUUGUUGCAUUCCGUCUAACACUCUCUGUUUCAUGACUGGAUUUUGUUAUUUAAGGAAGCUUUAAUUUUCUGUUUUGGCUGGGAAAUUCGUGGUCAUGACCUGGGUUUAGGGACAGCAAUUUGUGAUUUACUUGUAGUUUAGUUGAUAUAUUAUGUACGCAUGUGCUGCAAGCAUCUUCCUUUCUGUUUCGAUUGUAUUUUCAUACCCCGUCAUAUAAGUUGGGUCCUUUAGGAUGGGCAGUUGCAUUGCCAUGAGUUUAAUAAUGCUGGUUUGUGGACUUUAACGAAUUUUGACUGAUUAGCUUACUAGUUGUGGUUAAUUUUGUAAAGUAUGGCUGAGUGAAACAAAUCGAAAAACGAUAGUAAGAAUAUUGCAGAAAUUUCUUGCUUAAGGUUUGCAUGUUUGAAUGAUCCAAUUUCUGUAAUUUGUCGCUCAAAACCAGAAUUCCAAUGUUGGUUGUGAUUCAAGUUGCGUUUUUUCUUAUGUUUUGUCGUAUCUUCCCUUUCUCCCUGUCAUAAACCCGUGAAGUGGGUCUUGGUCAUCUAAUUUGCUGCAUUGCAUGGCUAGCUUUGUUGGAUCCUUUGGGAGUGUUUGGGUCGAACAUAACCAGUCUUAAGCUACUUCGCAUGAAUACCUCUCAGCUGAGAUAAGAAAGAAAAGAAGCUGCGUGAAUGUUGCAGCAGUUUCAUUUGUGAAUGGGCAUGAAAAUUUCAUAAGAAUGUGCAUACUUUCCUUCAAUGUUUUGACAGAUGGUGAGGUUAAUUGUUUUGCUGCGUGAGUUCAAAGUUUUGGGUAGAAGAAUUGGCUUUACGUGAAGUUGCCCAGAUUUUUUUUUUUUAGACGCAAAUGGGCAGCAGAUUAUAUAGUUCUUCUGUUUCUUUCCUUUUGCGUUUUAUCAUUAAAGUGGUUGGAUUUUAAUGGAGCAAUUCAUGGAUUAUGUUUGGAGUUUUGCAUGAAUAUUUGUAUUCAAUAGAUUGCUAAGAAACUGCAGCCAUAAGGUUGUGAGUUGCCGAAAGUUUCAUAACUUGCUGAAACAUUGUUGCAGAAAUCUUCUACGUAGCAUGCAUGUAAAUGCUCCUGAAAAUUGCACUUUGACCCCCAAGUCCCUUUUUGCUCUACUAAGGCCUAAGUAAUUGGAACAUUUAAUCAAUUUGAUCCCUCUAAGUUUCUCUGUGUGCCACAAAAGCCCAAGCAUGUUUUAGUAUCUUGUAAUUAAGUCCUAAAAUCAUUGCAACCUCAAUCAUUGCUUGGCUCUUUCUUUAUUUUUGGAGUCUUUGAAGUGCUUAAACUGUUUAUUUGGACUUGAAUAUUUGAACAAUGCUUGCUUUUGGGUCCUUAGUAAAUGCUACUUGGGAUUUGAAUAGGUCAUUCCGAUUUCUUGGUCUUUAAUUAACUCUUGACUCCAUGAAGUUGAAAUUGAGGAAUGAUUUGCUGAUUUUGGUGGAUUUAGCUUGUUUAUUUACAUUCUAUCAUUAAAUUGGUGCAUUAAUCCUUUGUUUGAUGGUUUUAGCCCAAAUUAGGACUUUUUUUUUACUAGCUUCAAGAACGAGGGAGGUAUAACUUUCUUUUAUCCUUUUUGUCUCUCCCUAUGUGGACCAAUGUGCUAAUUGAAAUUUGCAUGUCUACUUACUUUCCUAGCCGCUCCUUAUUUUCUUUCAUUUAUUUCAUUUACUUCUGGAUUUUUAUUAAUGGGGUAUGUGUACACCUCUUGGCUUGUAAUAGAUAGGGCGUAGCAAGUAAUUUGGUCCAUUUUCCCUUUCCCCUUUGUUUUAGUUAGCAAAUGUAAUGGUUGCAUGCCUAUGUGUUAUAUGUUAAAUGCUUUAUUAGGAUCUUGCAUCUAGUCGAGCAUGUUAUGUGCUACGUGUUUAUAAGUGAUUUGCAUGUCUACUCGCUUUUUGUAGUAUAGAUGAAUGGAAUGGAUGAAUGUACGUCACCACACUAGUCCAACGCUAGUUGUGGCUUCUUUUAUCGUUUCCACUAGUCCAACGCUAGUCGGAAUUCAUAGGAUGGGCUAGUCCAAUGCUAGACCCAAUAGGUUCUUUUUUUCCUUUUUUUCAUUAAGUGCAUGAUCACCACAUAUCACGCAUUUUUCCUUAGUUUAUCAUUUGGUAUGUUCCUCAAACCCCUUCCCCUUCACUUUAGGACUUGCAUCUCAUGCUAGUUAGGGUUCAUUUGCGUGAAAAUCCCCUCCGAUAAGGGAAACGAGCGAGUGUGGCUUCAAAUAGCCUUAGCACGCUAGUUUUUCCUUCUAGUCAAAGGGAAAAUUAAAAUCAUAAAACUAGAGGUCAUCCCCGUACCCGACUUGAUGCAUUCCUCUAAGUUCAUACAUUUUCAUUUUCUCAUUAUUCUCCUCAUUAAAUUUUUUAAUCCAUAUGCCAUAUUCGCACACCUAUUCACUUCUUUAUUUUUCACCUCACACAUUGCACCUAUCUUUUUACUUAUAUAUAUUUACUAUUUUUGUUCACUUGCACACGAGCACUUAUAUUUUCAUUCAUUUGCACACAAACACUUUCAAAUUGCACACAUGCCCUUCUCUACACUUUGCACACUUACACUCUUAUUUGAGUCCUCAUUUGCAUCAUUCACGAUUUUCUAUGAGGUCUUUCUUAUUGGCCUUCACAAUUCAUGUGAAUGGGACCACAAGCCUCAUAAGAGACAUUUCUUAGAUUUAGGAUUGCAUUUCUCAUUCAUUAGUCUUUGUCCAAAUUGCAAAUACAUACUUUGGGUAGAAAAAAAAAUUAGGAAAAUAAGGGUUAAAUCACGCAACUAGCCUUGGCUAGGUCGAAAGGGGUGCCUUGGAUUUUUAUCCUUGCCUUCCCCUUCGUCAAAUGUGACUCCCGAACCUUUUUCUUUGUUUGCGUGGACUAGGAGUCGUUCAAAAGGGUUUCUUACUUUUUUCCUUAAAAAAUUCACUUUUUGGGUGACUUGGUACACCCUAACUCUAUACCAAGUGGCGACUCCAUUCUUCAUAUAAAAAACCCUUUUUGAACUAUUUUUCUUCGGUCAAAUCGUCGCAUUUUCAAAAGUCCCAUUUAGACCCAUUUUUAUUUUUAUCAAAAAAUUCACUUUUUCCAAACCAAUAAAAUCACAAAAACAAUCAUUUAUUUAUUUAUCAAAAAAUGGGGCGCGACACCCGAUGUACUGGUUAUACAUUAAGUGACUUAUUAAGCUUGAACGCUUCCGCAUUAUUGUAUUCAUGUUGCUCUCAUCGAAGUGUUUAGUUCGGUUUGAAUUUGGAUGGAAUUGCUUGAGUCCUGGCGUGAGCUGGGCAGGCGUCCGCGGAUACCCUUUGGUCCGCCUUAGGGAGAUGUGGGGCGUCACACUUUGGGAUUCAGGAUGAUGCAAUCUAUAGUCUUUGGAAAUUCUUAACUUUUAGAGGUAAGUGAUGCCUUUAGGGAAAAAAAAUGAUUUCGGCAGAUCGGUUAUUUUAUCUUGAUAGAUAUUUGAGAAAAAUGCAUGUGACGUGUAAAUCAACAUUCCGAGAAUGGACAGAGAUCUUUAGUUGCUUUAGAGAGAUUCGGUGGUGUUAUUUUAUUAUUUGAAUCACCCUAUAUGCAUGUUAGUCACGUCCGGGAUUGGCUACCAAAGAUUUACUAUUGUUUAAUUGACAACCAGUAGCUAGUCAGAAAACCGAACCGCAAGAGCAUAAUUGAUGAGUAGGGCUUCGAUGAUUACAAGUCUCUUUCUUAUUUAAGUUGAAAACUGAACACUAGGCAGCAGAAUUAUAACUUCCUUAGGGUGAGGGACUAAUUUACUUUUGGUAUUAUCGUUGGUGUACUGAUGUCCCUCUCACCUUUUAGUUAGGUAUGGUUGAUCCCCCGCACUUCUUGGUUGCUGAAUUUUAUUCUGAUAAUGGUUGAAAUGAACAUCGUCUUCGGCAGUGGCUUCCGGCUAGUUUGGUCUAGAUUGUGUAGCAAAUUAAUUUUUAUCCUGACCAAAAGGAUUAUCUACUCGGAGGUUUACCAUUUCUUUGGCUUGGGAAAAAUUGCAAAUGAGGCGCAAUAUUUCUAUGGUGGACCAUUACAUUUGGUGUACUAUUGUUUCCAUUAAAAUCUCUUUCUUUGUAUGGCAGUUGUUACGAAGGUAUCUAUCGUUGGAUUCGCAGCCGCCGCGUAGAGGUUUGCCGAUUCUUCGGCGGUGUCAUUGUUACUCUGAUGCAAUGGAAACCCCUGUUCAUUUGUUUCUCGAAGGCCUGGUUGCAAUUGAUGUCUGGAAUUGUUUUGGUCAGCGAUUUGGGUUUUUGGAGCGGUCAACUACAGGUAUGUCCUUCAUGUUACUUAGUUGUUUUCUCUUGCAUCCUUCUAUUUGGGUUGAUCAUAUUAGAGUGGCAGUACCUUUGCUGGUAUUGUAGUUGCUUUGGAAGGACUGCAAUUCAGCUCAGUUUCGUGGUGGUGUGGUGGACUCCCAGUGGGUUAUUUUUUCACUUUCAUCUGAUGCAUUGCAUUGUUUCUUCGUAUAUAAGAUGUUCCCCCAUAUGUGAGAGCUGCCAUUAAUUUGGAUGCUGGAUCUGUACCUAAUGUGUAGUCUAUAAAGGAAUACAUACUCCUUAUUUAUUUUCCAGUAGCUCCUUUGAUAGGCUGAUUGGGCUUUUCAAUAUUUCUUGUAUUUUUUAAUUAUGUUUUAAUAAAAUAAUGAGGUGGCAUCCCUCCUCGUGUACAGAAUUACCAAAAAAAAAAAAGGUUGCUCAGGACGAGAUUAGUUUAGCAUUCAGGCUGUAAUUGUUGCUUCUAGGCAUCAUAGUGGGAAUAACAAAUUAUCUAACGUGAUCCUUUGUUGAGACUUAGAUUCCGGAUUUUCUUUGGACUGGCUUCAUGGAAUCAUUUAUGCAUAUGGUUUGAGGUAAGUGACCCUAUUACUAACCAGUAUUUUCUUAAACGUAUAAAUUAUUUAUGCUAAAAGAAAUUUUGGGAAUUUUUAAAGUUGUGUAUUUUAUGAAAUAUAUUGUUUGCCUGUGCUUUUUUCAUGAAAAUUGAUCAAGUAUGUGAUUAUUUGUUGAUAUGAAAUUAUCUGAGAUUCGUGAAAUGUUUGGAUCAAUUAUGGCUUAAUUUUAAAUUUGUCAAUUCAAAGGUUGGUUGAUUUGAGAAUAUGUUGUGUGUGUGUUGUGAGUUUUCCAUUUCGGAACUAGUUAUGGAAACCGAGCUAUAACAGGGUUAAGUAUAUAGUCAUGACCCAAGUUGGAGGGGUAAAGUCUAAUCCGUAACCCAAGUUAAGGGGGUUGAGCUUGACUCAUGACCCAGUUUGCUUUGCGCGAUUAACUAGUGUUUAGUGUGUCUAACUGGGUGUUUAACAUAAGGUCUAAUUACUUAGAUCAUGGUUGUGUGAUAGUAUAAAUUUUUGCUGUCAUUGAAUUAUUGCUUGAUUUCACUCCUUGAUCUAACUGGUUAGCAGUUUGGUUACUUACUAAGUUGAGAAUUGAAUGAAGCUAUUGAAUUGGCUUCUGGAUCUCAAUCAAGUGGUCUGAGCUUCUGGUUACAUUAACUAAAGAAUUUAUUUUUGGAUUAAUUUGUGAUUCAGAUAUAACAUCUUUUCUUUGGUAAUCUCUUCUAACUUGGUUAUUAGGUUAUGGAUUUUCUGAAGGUGUAUUCCGUAUGGAUUUUUGGUUCUAAAUGGAUUUGCUAGUCAUCUCUCUGAAUUAUGGAUUCUUUGGUUAUAAAAUUCGGGGCAUGACAAUAACAUUAUUACAUGUUGAUGAUUAUUUAUUUUAAAAAUUGAAUAUAUUUAGGUACCAUAUUCCUGUGAUGGUUGGUGGAUCCCCAGCAGAAGCAACGACGUCCUCUUCCUUCCUUUUGCCACGGCCCGUUUUUGUUUUGCUCCUUCAAUGGUGCUGAAGAAGUGCGGAGCUUCCCCGGACCGAGCUGACCUGCGGAGCUUGGUGUGCUAACGAGAAAGGCGUGUUCCAACUCUGCAAGACAAACAACAAGAGGUCUCUGGGGUGACGAGCAGGGGAGCCCCAAGGUGGUCCCCGGGGUCACUCCGACGGUCAAGUUAGUCUUCCGGUGAACGGAGUUUACUAGGGUUAAAGCAGUUGGGAGUAUUUUGCCAACAGUGGGCUUACCUUGUGUAGUUGGUGUGCGUUACCAUUUAUACCCGUUCGAGAGUCCGACCUCCGUACGUUUCGGGACCUGCCCGGAAUAGUCUCAAUCCCGCGCUGAGAGGGAUUCUCCUCACCCUCUGCGGGAUUGUUCCUUGGAGCCCUUCGGAACCCUAGCGGUGGUAUGCCCCAGGACAGUUCCCAUGGGCCUGGGGUCCAAACCCAGCUCUGGCCUCUCUGGGCUGCCAUGUGUCUGGGCCCAGGACGGGGCCCCUGCACUAGCCCUCUAGAUUAGGUAGAGCUUCCAGACAAACCUAAUCUACACCCCUGCCACGUGAGAGACCGGCAUCGUCCUGCUCUGCCAGGGUUACCUCCGGCACAGUGCUGUCACUGAAAAGCUGCGCUCAUGUCCUUUCGGCUGUCGCGUCUCAUCGGUUUCCGUACCGCUCUUAAAUGCGUUCACAUGGGGACGGUUCAAAUUCAAGCAGCCGUUUCCCCCCAUUUUAUUCCCUAUGAAUAGGGGCUUCCAGAUUUCCUCCGACUCUAUUUGCCAUUUUCCUCUCUUCGUGUAUUUUCUUACUCCCGGAAUUUCCAGCGGCAAGACUUCCAGCCCACAGUGCCCAGAUUCCGGCGGUUCCUUCAUCUUUUCCCAUUCCGUUAAUCAGUAAGUCCUUUUCCUCCCUUCUUCUCUCUCUUUUACCCUUUGCCAUCUUCUGCUUUUUAUGUCGGAUCGGUUCGGCGUUACUUCCACCGCAUCUCGGGUUCCUACCCAUCGUAGAGCCCUUAGGAUCCUUAUUUCUUCGUCGUCUUCAUCCUCAUCCUCAUCUUCAUCUUCUUCUCCUCCACUUUCUUCCUCUUCUGCUUCUAAUCCCAACUUCCACAUCCCUGACCUGGUCGAGCCCAUAAUCAUCAUGAGUUCUCCAUCUGCCCAUUCUCCUUUUCCCCGAAUUCUGGAGGAGGUGGCCGAGCUCGACGCCCUCAUUGAGCAGCAGUCCACUUCCGUUCCCUCCCCCAAGUCCCCACAUGACUCCCUUGGCAGAGCCCAGGGAGGGGCUAGUGAGGACAGGGACUCCUCCGAGGGAACCCCUGUUUCUGAGCAGGGGGAUGAUCCUGGAUUCAACUACGGUCAUCCUGACCAGCAAGGGGUCACCCUCUCACCCGAGGAGGUUGUCGAGCUGGUCAGGUCUUUUUCCAUUCCCCCAGCCUUCGAACCGAGGGCUACCGGGCCCAACGACCGAGCCAGGCGACCUCCCCCCGGCUUUGUAGCCAUUUAUAGGGAGCAGCUGGUCGCAGGGCUCCGACUCCCCAUUCCUCCGACCCAAGCCGAGAUCCUAAGCUAUUGGGGGCUCAGAAUCACCCAGGUCCAUCCCAAUUCGAUCAGGAUCAUCAUCGGAUUCCUGAUUUACUGCCAAAUCUGCUCCAUCCCCUAUUCUCUUUCUCUCUUCCGGGUCUCCUACACCCUCAAGCUCUCCCUUCUUGGGUGGUACUACUUCUCCCGCCGAACUAUUAGCAAAGUUCGGGGUGGGAAGGGCACCCAGGAUCUGCUCUUCGGGGUCCUCUCUUCCAUAAAAAACUGGGAAGUGGAUUUCUUCUUUGUUAAAUCCACGCAUUUUCCCUACAAUGUGUGGAAGGUAGGGGAGGUCGACUCCGACCCCUAUCCGGGGGACUUGGACUCCGAAGCCCUCAGCCAGCUGGUGAGCUCCACGAUGAAGCUCUACGCUGCCAGGCUCUACACCGAGCAGAUAUCUGCGGCCGGGCUGUUGGGGACGUUGUCCGGGUCCCCUGGAGAAGUGGUGCCCUCCCCUACCGACUACGAUACCUGUAAUGCCGCCUCUGUGCCCCUAUUAGCCAAGUGCGGGGUACCUCUACUCUAUCUAAUUUCACGAGCUUACAGUGCCCAGCUCGGCUCGCCUCCAGGACCUUGUAUGGCCCCUCCCAAUUCGGAUCGAGCUUGUUGGAGUUAUGAGUUUGGCUGACUGAGUUCUUUCUUAAGACGAGGUCUCCCGGCUGGUACUGUGUAUUUCUCACCUUCGUGUUACGAUAGCGGGCGAGCUGACUUUUAUAUUUAGCCAUCCGUAUCGCCGCUUCCUCGUGUUUGGCUUCCAGCAUGUCCAAGUUACACCGCAGUUCCUCUUCAUUGGUUGCAGCAACAAAGUUCUGCGUCCGAGGUGAUGGGAGAUCGAUCUCUGCUGGUACCACCGUUUCUGCCCCAUAAGUCAAAGAGAAAGGGGUCUCAUGAGUGGCUGUCCUCGACGUAGUUCGGUAAGCCCAGAGGACACUAGGAAGUUCCUCUAGCCAGUUAGACUGGGCCAGUUCCAACCUAGUCUUCAGUCUUUGCAAAAUGGUUCGGUUAACGUUUUCUACUUGGCCGUUGGCCUGGGGAUGACCGAACGACGUGAAGUGUUGGCUAAUCCCGAGCUCGGCGCACCAGCUCCUGAAGGGUUUUCAGCGAACUGUCGCCCAUUAUCGGAUAUCAAAACAUGUAGACCCCCGAAGGGGCAAACUAUGUUCCUCCAGAAGAAUUUCUGAACUGCCUUUCCAGAGAUAGUGGCUAGAGGCUCCGCUUCCAUCCACUUUGUGAAGUAAUCGAUGGCCACCACGAGGUGUUCGUAUCUCCCGGGAACUCGGGGAAAAGGCCCCAGAAGACCUAUUUCCCACUGGGCAAAGGGCCAAGAACUGUGGAUGGGGACCAUCUCCCGAGUUGAUUGGUGACGCAGCGGGGCGUGCACCUGACACACUCGGCAUUUCUGAACUAGUGCCGCGACAUCCCGAAACACUGAGGGCCAAUAGUAGCCUAGGAGCAGGCACUUUUUGGCCAAAACCCGGGAUCAUUCAUGAACUUCUCGGAGGACGUAAUCGCUCUCCUCAGGAGUUACGCACUUUAGUCAGGGGGACAAAUACGACUUCCGAUAGAGGGUCCCCCCAGAGUAGGCGUACUUGGCAGCCCUGAACUGGAGCCGGCGGGCCUUGGUUUUGUCCUCGGGGAAGACACCCGAGCUGAGAAAGUCCACGAGGGGAGACAUCCAAGAGGCCGGACUGUCUACAGCCAAGACUUGGACUUGGUCGAUGUUUUUUUGCUUGACCACCUCCACCAGAACCUCCUUGUUCAGGUGAGCAAACGAGGAGGACGUCAGUUUCGACAGGGUGUCCGCGCGCUUGUUCUGCAACCUCGGCACCUGCUCGAUUUCAAAGACAUCGAACAGGGCUAUCGCCUCUCGUACCUUAGUCAAGUAUUUUUUUCAUGAUGUCCUCCUUGACCUCGUACUCUCCGCGAACUUGGUGGACUACGAGCUGGGAGUCACUCCGGGUUUUGGUCGCAGUUAUGCCCAUCUGGUGGGUUAUCCGCAAUCCUGUCAAUAGGGCCUCGUACUCCGCCUCAUUGUUGGAUGCCGGGAAGUCAAAUCUGAGUGCGUAGGUCAGCUCUUCCCCGGUGGAUGAGGUGAGCAGUAAGCCAGCUCCGCUCCCUUUUUUGCUCGAGGCCCCGUCCACAAAUAGUACCCACGGCUCUUCCGGGUGUACCUCCUUGGGCAAAGAGCUCGGCUCAGCCACGGACAAACUGGCUCCCUCAGCAAGAAAGUCUGCCAGGGCCUGAGCUUUGAUAGCGGUGGGAAGCUGAUAGCCAAUGUCGUGCUCGGCCAGUUUAACGGCCCACUUGGUCAUCCUGCCCAAGACCUCAGAUUUUGUGAGUAUCUGUCGUAAGGGCUGAUCGGUCACGACAACAAUGCUAUGGGUCUGGAAGUAAGGUCGGAGUUUCCGGGCGGCGUGCGCCAGGGCAAGGACCAAUUUUUCUGCCGGUGUGUACCGCGUUUCCGGCCCUUGUAAAGCAUGGCUGACGUAGUAUAUUGGCCUCUAAGCCCCCUUGUCCUCCCGCACCAAAACCGCGCUAACGGCCUCAUUGCAAGCAGACAAGUAUAGGAACAGGGUUUCUCCCUGCUCCGGGGCGGUCAGAGUGGGCAGCUCAGCCAGAUAUGUUUUCAGGUCAGCGAAAGCUUUCUGGCAUUUCUCAGUCCAUUGAAAGUCCUUAGGCGCUUUCAGGAUUCGGAAGAAGGGUAGCCCCCUCACCGCGGAACGCGAGAGGAACCUAUUCAGGGCGGCCAUCUUUCCCGUGAGCCGCUAGACCUCCUUUACGUUUCUCGGAGGGGCCAUGUCCAUGAUGGCCUGGACCUUAUCCGGGUUAGCCCGGAUCCCCUCUCAAGACACCAAAAAACCUAGAAACCUUCCCGACCUAACCCCGAAGGUGCAUUUCUUCGGAUUCAGCCGCAUCCGGCUCUUCCACAGGAUAUCCAAGGUCUCCCUCAGGUCGGGAACGAGUCGUCGGUCAGUUCAGCUCUUGACGAUCAUAUCGUCCACGUAGACCUCCAUACUCCUGCCAAUCUGAUUCUGGAAUAAUUUGUUGACCAAGCGUUGGUAGGUAGCUCCAGCAUUUUUUAGCCCAAACAGCAUUGUCCGGUAGUAGUAAGUCCCUUCCUCAGUGAUGAAGGAAGUCUUUUCCCGAUUUUCUUCAGCCAUUUCUAUCUGGUGAUAUCCCUUGAAGGCAUUCAGGAAACACAAAACGUCAAAAACCAUAGUAUAAUCUACUAACCUGUCGAUCCUCGGCAAGGGUAAGCAAUCUUUUGGGCAGGCCUUAUUGAGAUUUGUGAAAUCCACGCACAUCCUCCAAGACUGGUCCUCCUUUUUCACCAGGACCGGGUUGGCUAACCAGGUCGAGUAAUAUACCUCCAGGAGGAUUUUGGAUUCCAACAGCUUGCCGACAUCCUUCUUGAUCACCUCAUUUCUCUCCGGGGCGAAGCUCCUCUUCUUCUGCUUCACUGGCUUGAAGCGGGGAUUUACGUGGAGGUGGUGGACGGCCAGAUCAGUCGGAAUCUCAGGCAUGUCCCAGGAGGAGACCCGGGAGUACUCCCUUAGCAGGGCCUUCAGACCCUACUUUUCCUCGGGAGGUAACGACGCGUCGAUGCGGAGGACCCGGUCAGGCCUGUCCUCUCUCAAGGGAAACUCCUCGAUCUCGUCCUGGGUGCCCAAUUGCCGGGUCUCCUCCCCCGGGAUGUAGGGCUCCAAGUUGGUCGAUUGGGCGACCACCUUCUCCUGUCCCUGGAGCAUGGCCAAGUAGCAAGCUCUGGCUACUUCUGGAUCUCCAUGCACCUCGGCUAUUCCUCCCGAGAUGCGAAAUUUGACGCUGAGGUGGAGCGAAGAGGGAAUAGCUCGGAAGGCGUUCAAGGCGGGCCGACCCAAGAACACAUUGUAUGGGGAUUUUGACCACCACGAAGAUGAUGGGGAUGGUCCGGUAUUUGGGCACCUGCCCUAUUGUGGCCAUCAGGGUGAUCAUCCCCUCCGAGUUGAUGGGCGACCCGGUGAAACCCACCAGGGGUGUCCUAACCGGAGUCAACUGUCCAUCCUCCAAGCCGAGCUCCUUGAACACCCGGUAAAACAGGAUGUCCACCGCAUUUCCUUGGUCGACGUACACUUUUUUCACCUGAUAGUUAUUGGUUACGACGUCUAUCACGAUGGCCUCGUGGUUCCUGAACGCCAGGGGGAACCGCAUCCCUCGGUCCGAAGGUGAUCUCUUCGUCCAUGCGCAGGCGCUUCAUGGAAUCAUCUCCCUCUGGGGGAGGUCGCCUGUUCUUCCGAGUUGCAUAGCUGUCCCCCCCGUGGGACCUCCAGCGAUGGUGUUUAUCAUCCCUGCCAAGUUCUGAGUGUCCUGGUCGGGAGAGCAGCCCCGAGGAAUAUCACGCCGCUCAGGUCGGUCGCGGCGCUGGCUGUCGCUCCUGUCCCCGUGGUAGGUACGUCUUGGGUCCUGACCUGGUCGACCUUGCCACACAAAUCGUCCCAGGAAGCCAUGCUGGAUCAGAUCCUCGAUCUCUUUCCGCAGAACCCAACACCCCUCCGUAUCAUGCCCAACAUCGCGAUGGAAGGCACAGUACCGGUCCUGAUUUCUCUUGUUUCGAGGUGUCCCCAUCUUAGGUGGCCGUUCCCCUAGGCCCUCCGCCUCCAUAACGUCUAGGAUCUGGGCUCUUGGCCGAGUCAGGGGGUGUACCCCUUUUCCGAAAGCACCGGUUGAGCGGGGGCUUUCUCUUUUGAGAGUGGUCAAAAAUAUUUUUCUUGGCCGGGCCAUCCUUGCUUUCGAGGGGGUUUUCCCGUCCUCUCCGAUCUCCGAGCUCCCGAUCCGACUCCCUCUUCAGGCGCGCCGCCUCCUCUGCGUUAGCGGCUGCGUGCGCCCUGGUCAAGAGCUCUCCCAGGUCUCCGGGAGGUUUCUCAACCAACCUGUAGAAGAGCUCCUCCGCCCUGAGCUCGUUCAUGAAGGCGGCCAUCACCAUAUUUUCAUCCUUGUCUCAGAUCUGCAGGCUCUCCGUGUUGAAGCGGGCCAUGAAAUUUCUCAGUGACUCGUCCGGUUUCUGCCUGAUUGCCAUCAGGUGAACCGCGUUCUUCGAAUAAGUCUUCGAAGAGACGAACUGGGCGACGAACUGUCUGGCCAGCUCGGGGAAACUCCAGAUGGACCCCGGUGCCAGACCCUGGAACCAGAGCCGGGCCCUCCCCUUCAGAAACAUGGGAAAGGUCUUGCAACGGAUUUCAUCCACGGCUGUUUGCAGAUACAUGUGUGUCAGGAAGACCGAGAGGUGGUCUUUCGGAUCGGUCGAAGCGUCAUACAACUCAAUGUUCGGGAUCUUGAACCUCCGGAGUAGUGUGUAGUCCUCUAUCCCCCGGGUGAAGGGCGAGACUGUGUAAUUGUCCUCGUACAAUUGCGGUCGCAAGAUCUUCUUGAGUUCGUCUCGGUCAGGUUUCCACUGGGAAAGGUUACGCGGCCAGCUCUUGACAGAUCGGUCGAGGGAGCGUUCAGGCUCGUUCCGCGUAGGCUUCCGCGGGGAAGGAUUUCUCGGUCGGCUCCCAGCAGACCGGUCGCGGGAGUACCUCUCGCUAUCCCCGACCACCGAGGCUCGUAGGCGAGGGGGAGUCCGUGGCCGUUUCCUUCUGGGGUGUUGGUCCCGUGACUCAUCCUCUGAGGGAAUGAGAGGUGAUUCCUUCUCCUUCUUCUUUGCCUUGGUGGUUUGUGCACCCCCGGCUUCAUCCCCUUCUUCGCCUGUCGGAUUAUGUCUUCCAGCAUGGGGAGGUUUUCCGUCACGAACUGAAGGAUCUGCUGUCUCUGUUCUCCUGAAAGGGCUGAGCCCCCGGCUUCCCGAGCCGCCUCGCUUUCCCUUCGCCGAGACCCCUCGCCGGCUCCAGGAUCAGUGUUCUCUACGGUUCACUUGGAACGCGUUCUCGCCAUCAACACAACUAUACCUACCUCUCGAAUUCCCACAGACGGCGCCAACUGAAGAAGCGCGAAGCUUCCCCAGACCGAGCUGACCUGCGGAGCUCGGUGUUCUGACGAGAAGGGCGUGUUCCAACUCUGCAAGACAAACAACAAGAGGUCUCUGGGGUGACGAGCAGGGGAGCCCCGAGAUGGUCCCCGGGGUCACUCCGACGAUCAAGUUAGUCUUCCGGUGAACGGAGUUUACUAGGGUUAAAGUAGUUGGGAGUAUUUUGCCAACAGUGUGCAUACCUUAUGUAGUUGGUGUGCGUUACCAUUUAUACCCGCUCGAGAGUACGACCUCCGUACGUUUCGGGACCUGCCCGGGAUAGUCUCAAUCCCGUGCUGAGGGGGAUUCUCCCCGCCCUCUGCGGGAUUGUUCCCUGGAGCCCUUCGGAACCCUAGCGGUGGUGUGCCCCAGGACGGUUCCCAUGGGCCUGGGGUCCAAGCCCAAUUCUGGCCUCCCUGGACUGCCACGUGUCUAGGCCCAGGACGGGGCCCCUACAGGUGCCAUGUUUGGAUCAUGUACUAUAAUCUUUAUAAGGGUAGAAGUAUAAAUAACUUUCCUAUAGUUUCACUUAUUACUACAUAAUCCUAUAGUGUGAAAAUGGGAACAUAAAUCUUCUUAUGGUCUCAUGGAAAGGUAAAAAACGACGAAAAUUAUCUCCGGGAACCGUGCCUUUUCUAUAAACAAUCGAAUGAACAAAGUUUAAGUACCAAAUAACAAACUAUACAGCAAAAUGAAAAGCACAUCUAUCAAAAUGUCAACAUGUUCAAAUAUGCAAACAAGUUUUAAUUAUUAAAUAGUAGGGUGUUUAAUCAAACGAACAAAACAUAUGAACAAAGUGUGAAUGCCAAGAUAUAGUAUGAAAUGAACAAAGUCUAAGGAUCUACUAUGCAAGUGUAUAAUGGACAUUUAAGGUAAUGUUGUUAUAGAAGUAAUUUCAAUCAAAUUUCUACUUUACAAGAAACCAUGGAGGUUUAAGUAGAAGUGUCAAUUGGGCUUUCUGAGCCGGACUUUGCCAAGCUCAGGCUCACUCACAAAUUAUAUAGGUUUCAAAAUUCAAGUUUGAAUUAACAAACUCAAAUUCAACUCAUAAUAUUAUAUGAGUUUCAGGUUCAAAUUAGGUUCAGACCGAACUCAUAAUUAAAUACAUAAGCAUACAUAAUAUAUAUUUUGGAAUUAUGAAUUACUAUAAAUUUAUAUAUAAAUCAUUAAAAUUUCAUGGCAUAAUAUAUAUAUAUAGACACACACACACACACAUAUACAUAUACAGGCUUGAGCCUAACAUUGCCGAAACUCGAUUCCAUUUAGUUUAAACUUAAUAUUUAGAUCCAAACUCUACCCAACCCACAUAAAAUCUAGGCUCAACAAGCCUUUUUUUGGGGCCGAUGGACAGAGUUCAAGCUAACUUGCCGUAUUGAUAGCCCAGGGUUCAAGUGUUUAUUUUGAAUUAUGAUGGGUUCAUAUGGCUAUAAGUGCGACCAUAAGGGCGUAGAGUGUAGUUAACCUAUAAGAAACUACUAUUUGAUGCUGUACAAAAUUAGGAAUAGUAGUAUAAUUUAAUCUCGUUUAAACUAAUAGUAUAUACAUUUAGCAAGUAGAAAUAUCUAUGGUCUAAUCUAAAUUUGAAUUAAACUUUAAUUCUGCAUACAUGCCAUACAUCCAUGCGCCUUAACGUAUACAAUGUCAUAAUACAGAAAAUUAAUCCAUAGUAAUAUAUGUUAAGCCAAGUAGAUCUGAAAGUGUUUUCUCACUAUCCUUCAUGCUAGAGCAUGUCUUUUCCACUUUUAUAGAAGUCCCAGAUUGAAGUUACGAUAUUACUACAAGAAGUUACCUUCAAGUCAUGAAAGAGUAACGUGUUAAAAUUUUACCAAAAUGCUAUGGAAUUGGCUUGAUGUAUCAGGCAUAGUUCUCUCUCCAUUCCCAACAUCUUCUAGGCGUUGUUUUCAUUUUUGUCCUCGAGAAAACACAUUCUUGUUUCUUUUCUGUUCCCUUUUCAUUUUUUUGUGCUUUUCUUUUGUAUUGGUGCGUUAAAAGGAGAGAUUGGAAAGGAAGGAGCAAAAAGGGGGAAGACAAUAAAAAGAAGGAGAAUAAAACCUUCAUUAUAAGAAAACAAAAACAAAAACUCUCUCUUGCUUAUAACAAUGAUCAAGUGUAAAGACUUAGAGACUCCCAUAAGACAACACCAUGAAGAUUUGUACGUAUAGGGUGUGAUCAUAUCAGUGCUAAUGCACAGGAACCCAACAGAAUUCCGAAGAUUUGUACAUAUAUGUUGCACAGAAAGAGAGAGACAGGUGAUAUUAGUUAUAUCCAAUUAGAGAUAAAGGCCUCCUGCCUACUAUGAAGUAUGCUGAAGUGGUUGCAUUUGCCGAUCUAAUAGAAGAAAGAGAGGCUGAUAAUGCACUCUUGCGGAUAGUAGCAUGAAAAUCAUUCAUGCUAACUUCUUUAUCAUCUUCUUUAAUCGUAUCCAACGUCUUUGUGGCUCGUUGCCGCAUGACUUGCACAAAUUGUGGAGGUGCAACAUCUGUUACAAUUUUAGCAAUUCUUUUGCCAUAUUUUCUUGCUUUUCUCUUGGAAGUAAUGCUUUGAAGUAGAAAGGACUAUAAGAUUAUCUGGACUUAGAGUGGAAAUAAGGUAGUUGGAGGAUAACCAAUGUAAUGUGUUAAGAUGGGAAUAUAGAGGGGUGUUUGGGGAAGCAGGGAAAGAAGGGGGGUGUUGUAGGCGUGUUGUAAUGGUUGGUUCUCUUGUGGCUUAAAUUUCGUUCCAAUCUCUAAGCAAAUUGAAAUAGCUAAUGACUACUGGAUUGCAAGAAAAGUGUUGAUAAAUUAUUUAUUGAUGAAUAUUGCAUGAAAAAUGCGUGUAGCUUCAAUUAGCGGUAACAAUUAAUUGUCCAGGACUUGAAUUGGGCGGUAACUUGUAAUAUUGGGCACCAAUUGUUGAUCAGUCACCUUUCUGUUUAAUAGUAAUUUGUUUGAGAUUAACUCUCAUUACGGUCACAGUGACACUUUCUUUUCCGACUAGCAUUCCCCUUUCUAGACCCUUGUAUAACAAUUUAAUUGACUUACCAAAAACAAGUUCUGAUGGACUUGCUGCAAUUGCUAAAGACCAACUCCCCUUCAAACAUGGAUAUUGAAUUAACUUACACAAUUAAUUCAUCUAAGCAUGAAUAAUUUAAGAAAAAUAAAAUAAGGUUCGUGGAGGAUGUUUUGUCCAAAAUAGGCGCCUCUCAUCCUGAACAGCAUAUUAAGGUCUACGACAAUUUCCACGCUCUUUCGGCAUUAGCUCGUGGGGGGGUCAGAUUAGAUAGGUUAGGGGUGCCUUCAUUUCGGAGAAGUAGGCGUUUGUAAGAAGAACUUGUGAUUGUUUUGCUUGCUUGAUGAAUAAAACCCUAUUUAUUUAAAAAAAAAGAAUAUUUGUUUUAGAAAAUAUAUGUAUUUAGGUAUUCAAGUACCAUAUUAAUCUUAGAAAACUUUUAUACAUAUGUUUGUUUUAAUAUAAUCUUUUGAGUGAUAAAUCAGAGGCCUGCAGCUCAGAAUAUCCUUAUCAAAUAUAUUUUUGAGUUGUUUCUUAUUUCAUGGGUUGUAAAAUAAAAAACAAUUUUAUGUUAUGAAACAACUAAAAGUGUGAAUGUCCAUUUGUAUUCCCAAGAGUAUUAAUUCUUGAUUCAUUGCUACAUUAUGUAAAGAAGUUACAAUCCAUAAAUCUAUUCAUAUAGUGGAUAAACCAUUUCAUAAGAUUCUUCAUAUUCUUGUAGUAAUGAAUGUUUAAUAGGAUUGAUGUACCUUUAAUCUUGUAGUACCUAUAUAUAGAGGUACAUUGACACCUUUUGGGAUGACUUUUGGUAUUGGUUGGAAUAAUAAGAAAAUCAUUCUCCAUUUCUCUACUCAUUUCCCUAAUAUUUCAAUUCCUGUUAUAGUAUUUCAUUUUAUUAAUUUUAUAACACGUUAUCAGCAUGAACCUCUACUUUUGAGCAAAAGGUGAAAACGGAGCCUCUACUUUGAACAAAAGUGAAGCACGAGAUUUUGUCGAAAUUCUGCCCGUAUUUUCUUCGAGUAACUUCUUGGAUAAAUUUCUAACUCAAAAACUUAUUUUAAUUUCUUAUGGCUAAUCUUACAAAAUAAGAGUUCGUACCUCUUGAUAUUUCUGAAAAAAAUUAUUUAUCAUGGGUAUUGGAUGAUGCAAUUCAUCUUGAGGCAAUGGAUUUUGGUAAUACUAUUGCUGAAAAAAAUGAUCUUCAAACCAAGACCGUGUCAAAGUUAUGAUUUUUCUUCAUCAUCAUUUAGAUGAAUGAUUAAAAAUAGAGUAUCUUACUAUCAAAGAUCCUCUUGUCCUUUGGCAAGAUUUGAAAGAAAGAUUCGACCACCUGAAGUUGGUCGUUCUUCCAAAAGCUCGAUAUAAUUGGCUUCACUUACGGCUACAGGAUUUCAAAUUUGUCAACAAAUAUAAUUCAGCCAUGUUUAGAAUCACUUCUCAAUUAUCAUUAUGUCGUGAAAAAGUCACCGAUGAAGUUAUGUUAGAAAAAAUAUUUUCUACUUUUCAUGUCUUAAACAUGCUCCUGCAACAGCAAUAUCGAGAGAAGGGAUUUAAAAAAUAUUAUGAACUUAUCGCAUGUCUUCUCUUGGCUGAACAAAUAAUGAAUUAUUACUGAAAAACCAUGAAUCCCAACCAACUGGUGCAAGUCCAUUCCCUGAAACGAAUGCGAUUCAAUUUCAAAAUUUUGGUUGAGGUCGUGGCGUGGCCAUAGAGGUGGCCGUGGAGAAGGUCGUGGACAUGAUCGUAGUAGAUUUGUGCCCCUGUGAAAAUUAUAACCGUGGCAAACAACCAAAUAUUUUUCAAAAGAGAGAAAAUAACUACGAUCAGAAAAAUGGAGAAAAGAAUGUUUAUGAAGAAAAAUGCUAUCGGUGUAGUAUCGAAGGUCAUUGGUCUCAUACUUAUCGUACGCCUAAACAUCUUGUUAACCUCUAUCAAACAUCAUUGAAAAAGAAAGACAAAGGUGUUGAGACAAAUUUCAUUGAUCAAAAGAAUCAUUAUGAUGAUGGUGAUGAUGCUGAUAUUACACAUCUCGAUGUAGCUGAAUUUUUUGAGUAUCCUAAAGAUGUCAACAAAUAUCUCAUGAUUGUUUAGAUAUUUUAUGAUGCUUUAUAUCUUUCUUGUAAUUUUCUUUCUAUUCAAUAUUUAUUUUCGUAUCUUUAUUAAUAUUUAUUUUUGUUUGAAAUUUUCUUCCUGAAGAAGAAAUGGAUGCUAAAUAUUUGGGAUUAAAUAAUGAUGAUGAUGACAUUUGUUUCAUUUAUGUGCUACUACGCACACCAUAUUGAAAAAUAAAAAAUAUUUUUCUUGUUUAAAAAUGGGAAAAACAAAUGUUAAUACCAUCAGUGGUAGUGCAAAACUGAUUGAAGGCUCCGGAAGAGCCACUCUAUUUCUCCCUGAAGGGACUAAAAUUGUCGUAAAUAAUGCACUACUCUCUUCCCAACUCUCGGAGAAACUUAUUAAGUUUUAAAAAUAUUCGCGAAAAUGGAUAUCAUAUUGAGACAAUGACUGAGACAAAUGGUAAAUUUUUAUUAAUCACAAGUAUCAUUUCUGGGCAAAAUGCGUAAUAGAAAAAUUACCUUCUUUUUCUUCUGGCUUAAAUUAUGCACAAAUUAGUGCAAUUGAAAUUCAUCAUCUAGUAGACCAGAAGUCUACUCAUCCUAAUGAUUUUAUGGUUUGGCAUGAUCGUCUCGGACAUCCCGGAUAUGAAACUAAUAAUUGAGAAUUCACAUGGCCACUCAUUGAAAAAUCAAAAAGUAUUAAAAGCCAAUGAAUUCUCUUGUGUUGCUCAUUCUCAAGGAAAAUUAAUUAUUAGACUAUCACAAGUUAAAGUUGGAACUGAAUCCCCUACAUUUCUAGAAUGAAUUCAUGGUGAUAUAUGUGGGCCUGUAGAUCCACCAUGUAGACUAUUUCGAUAUUUUAUGAUGCUAAUUGAUGAAUCAACUAGAUGGUCACAUGUAUGUUUAUUAUCUAUUCGCAACUUGGCGUUUGUGAGAUUGCUUGCUCAAAUAAUUAAAUUACGAGCACAAAUUUCAGAUUAUCCAAUAAAGAAAAUUCGUCUAGAUAAUGCUAGUGAAUAUUCAUCACAUGCUUUUGAUGAUUAUUGUAUGUCCAUUGGAAUAACUGUUGAAUAUCUUGUAGCUUAUGUUCACACACAAAAUGGUCUAACCGAAUCAUUUAUUAAACGGCUACAAUUAAAGGCUGGACCAUUGUUGAUGAGGUUGAAACUUCCUUCAUUUGCUUGGGGACAUGCUAUAUUACAUGCACCAACACUUGUGAGAAUCAGACUGACAAGUUAUCAUACUUAUUCUCUCCUACAAUUAACUUUUGGUUAUGAAUCCAAUAUUUCUCAUUUACGAAUAUUUGGUUGUGCGGUUUAUGUUCCAAUUGCACCGCCUCAACGUCGUAAAUUGGGCUCCCAAAGAAAAUUGGGGAUAUAUGUCAGUUAUGAAUCAUCUUCAAUUAUUAAGUAUAUGGAACUAUUGACAGGUGAUUUAUUUACUGCGAGAUUUGCAGAUUAUCAUUUUGAUGAAUCACAUUUUUCGAUAUGAGGGGGAGAUAAAAAUCAAUCGAAAAAGGAAAUUACUUGGAAAAAUAUCAUUGGAUUUCCUUGAUUCUCGUACUAAAAAAUGUGAACUAGAAGUUCAAAGGAGUAUACAUUUGCAAAAAAUUGCAAAUCAAUUACCGGAUGCAUUUAAUGACUCCAGAAGAGUUACUAAAUCACAUAUUACAAUUAAAAUGUUCCAAUUAAAAUGGAUGACCCUGAAGGACAAAUUACAAGUGCUAAUGAGUCUAAAGCACGCCUGAAGUGUGGAAGACCUCUUGGUUCCAAAGAUAAAAAUUCUCAAAAGAAAAGAGGAGUAGAUGAAUUAAUAAUUAGUGACAAAAUUCAACCUCCUGAAGAGGUCGUUUCUAAAAAGCCAACUCUUGAAGAGAAUGAAACUAUAGAAAAUUCAAUAAAUUUUGUCACAUCAAGAAAAAGUUGGAACCGAAAAAGAAUAAUUAUUGAUAGUAUUUUUGCAUAUAAUAUAGCACUUGAUAUUAUGGCAAAGGAUGAGGAUCAUGAGCCUAGAUCGGUUGAUCAAUGUCGACGUAGAAAUGAUUGGCCAAAGUUGAAAGAUACGAUCCAAUCUGAAUUGGACUCACUGCUAAAAGAAAAGUUUUUGGACCUGUAGUCCAAACACCUGAAGGUGUAAAUCCAGUAGGAUAUAAAUGGGUAUUUGUGAGAAAAAGAAAUGAGAAAAAUGAAAUUGUGACGUAUAAAGCUGUAUGUUUAAUACCCAUCCUAGAAACUUUUCAUGUCUCUGAUUAUAAUGAAACGUAUUCACCUGUAGUGGAUGCUAUCACAUUUAAAUAUCUUGUGAGUUUUACAGUACAUGAAAAACUAGACAUGUGCCUAAUGGACGUCGUUACUGCAUAUUUAUAUGAAAAUCUUGAAAAUGAUAUUUAUAUGAGAAUCCCCGAAGGAUUCAACAUGCCUGAAGCAUGCAAAUUAAAUUCUAAAGAUAUUUUUUCUAUUAAAUUACAAAGGUCUUUGUAUGGGUUCAAACAAUCUGAACGCAUGUGGUAUAACUGCUUCAGUGAAUGCCUAACUAAAGAAGGUUAUACCAAUGAUCCAAUAUGUUCAUGUGUUUUUAUCAAGAAAAAUGGGCCAAAUUUUGUGAUAAUUGCUGUAUAUGUUGAUGAUCUGAAGAGAUUCAAAAUAGUAUUGAAUAUAUGAAGAAAGAAUUUGAGAUCAAAGAUUUUAGAAAGACAAAAUUCUGCCUUGGUUUACAAAUUGAGCAUUUGAAAGGUGAAAUUUUGGUCCACCAAACUACUUAUACUCGGAAGAUAUCAAAACGAUUUUAUAUGGAUAAAACACAUAUAUUAAAUACACCAAUGGUCGUCAGAUCACUAGAUCUUAAUAAGGAUCUUUUUAGACCACGAGAGGAAAAUGAAGAGACACUUGGUUCUGAAAUACCAUAUCUCAAUACAAUUGAUACACUAAUGUAUCUUGCUAAUUGUACAAGACCUGAUAUAUCAUUUGUAGUAAAUUUAUUAGCAAGGUUUAGUUCCUCGCCCACAAGACAACAUUGAAAUGAUAUUAAACAUAUUUUUUGCUAUUUCCAAGAAACAAUUGAUCUUAGUUUAUUUUAUUCAAAUAAAUCCAACCUGAAUUGGUUGGUUAUGCUGAUGCUGAGUAUUUAUCUUACCCGUAUAAAGCAAAAUCUCAGAUUGGUUAUUUAUUUACAUAUGAAGGUACAGCCAUUUCUUGGUGAUCUACAAAGCAAUCAUUAGAUGCCACUCCAUCGAAUCUUGUUGAAAUAAUAGCAAUUCAUGAGGCUAGUCAAGAAUGUGUUUGGUUAAGAUCAAUGACCCACUACAUCCGGAAAAGUUGUGGGUUAUCCUCCGAAAAAAAAAAUCGUCCAACUAUAUUAUAUGAAAAUAAUGCAGUUUGUAUAGCUCAAUUGAAAGGAGGAUAUAUUAAAGGAGAUAGGAUGAAACACAUUUCACCAAAAAAAUUUUUACUCAUGAUUUGCAAAAGAAUGGUGAAAUUGAUGUGCAACAAAUUCGAUCAGAUAAUAAUUUGGCAAAUUUAUUUAUCAAGGCAUUGCCGAUUGCAAUAUUUGAGAAAUUAGUGAAGAAUAUUGGAAUGUGACGAUUAAAAGAUCUCAAAUGAUAUUUGCAUUAGGAGGAAAAAAUAAUAUAUGGGAAUAGUGUACUCUUUUUCCUUCAUUAGGGUUUUGUCCCAGUGGAUUUUCCCUAAUAGGGUUUUAACGAGGCAUAUUUUUUGUUUAAUGGACAUCCAAGGGGGAGUGUUAUGAAACAACUAAAAGUGUGAAUAUCCAUUUGUAUUCCCAAGAGGAUUAAUUCUUGAUUCAUUGCUACAUUAUGUAAAGAAAUUACAAUCCAUAAAUCUAUUCAAGUAGUGGAUGAACCGUUUCAUAAAGUUCUUCUUAUUCUUGUAGUAAUGACUGUUUAAUAGGAUUGAUGUAUCUUUAAUCUUGUAGUACCUAUAUAUAGAGGUACAUUGCCACCUUUUGGCAUGACUUUUGGUAUUAGUUGGAAUAAUAAGAAAAUCAUUCUCCAUUUCUCUACUCAUUUCCCUAAUAUUUCAAUUCCUAUUAUAGUGUUUCAUUUUAUUAGUUUUAUAACAGAUAUGAUAUUAAUACUCUUGUUGCUCGAUUUUUUGCUAAUAUUUUGGCCAUGGCUCUUGUCGUUUUGCUCCCUUUCUGCUUUUUGUCUUCUCUCUCCUUCUUGCCUGUGUUUGUGUGUGUUUGUAGAUAUGGAUUGUGUAACACAGGUGGCUGUGCGCAGAUGGAGAAAAAAAAUCUAAGAAAAAGAGUUGAGAAAAUUUUGUGCAGAUGAUGAACAUUUUGGGGUGGUUUGCUGCGUGGGUACUAAGUGUGGAAGUGAUGUGAGGAAGAGAAAUGUCAGAGAGAGCUUGAAGGGAAAAUUUUUCUGAUUACUAGAGGCUCAGACCCUCAUUUCUUGGAUAGAAAUUGGGCAAUUCACUCGAUAAAGAUAGCAAGAAAACGUUUAUCUCUUCUUUUUCAUUCCUAUCUUUUUCCUUUAUCUUUUUCUUCCUUUUAUUUUUUUGGGCCUACAAAAAAUAUAUGAUAUAACUUAAAUCAAUAAUGCUUAAAAAACACACACAGACACAGGGGCCAUUUCAUUUUCUGUGAAAAAAAAAAUUCAAAUAAAAGUCGGUGUCUACACCUUGUAGCUCUUUGGAAGUAGUUACACAAGAAGAACGGAAUGACACCAAUCACACUUCAAAUGGAAUGAUCUGUUACCAGUGAAAACAUGGGAAAGACUUGUUCCCUUAUGCCACUAGAUGCCGUCAUCAUCAAGAGGAAUAUAGAAAAUUAUAUAUUUUCCUAACAGGUAUUUGAUACAUUGGUUUGGUCUUUUCAUUGAGUUUCCAAAGAUAUUUAUGUUGGAGGUGCCAAGUUUGAAUCAUCUACUAAAACCAUGAUUUUAUAAGGGUAAGACUCAUAAAUAACUUUCACAUGGUUUCACUUAUUACCAAAUAAUCCUCCAUAGAGUGAAAAUGGCAACAUAAACCUUCUUAUGGUCUCAUGGAAAGUGGAAAUCGACAAAAAAUUGUCUCCAGUGACCGUGACUUUUCUGUAAACAAUCGAAUGAACAAAAUUUAAGCAAGUACCUAACAACAAACUAUACAACAAAUGAAAGUAGAAGUAUCAAGUUUACUCGGUUUAACAUAUGGAAGUCCCAGAUUGAAAUUAUGAUAUUAAUACAAGAAGUUACCUUCAUGUCAUGAAAGAGUAUUGUGUUAAAGUUUGCCAAAAUGCUGCAGAAUUGGCUUGAUGGUAUCAGGCAUAGUUUUCUGUCCAAUGCCAACAUCUUCUAGGCAUUGUUUUCAUUUUUGUCCUUGAGAAAACGUGAUUUGUUUCUUUUCUGUUUUAUUUUCUUUUUUUAUUGAUAUUUAAAAAAAAGGCUUGGAAAGAAAGAAGCAAAAAGAGGAAAGAGAACAAAAAUAACAAGAAUAAAACCUUCAUUAUAAGAAGAGUGUUGGAUAUUAGGCCUGGAAUUGAGAGGAAUAUUUGGAGACAAGGGUGGCUUCAAUUGUUUCUUUCUUUUAUUUCUUUCACUCUCUUAUAUUGGUUUGGAGUUUACAAGGUCAAUUUAUACUUGUAAGUGAUCAUUCUAGAUACAUAGAGAAAUGUUCCAACCAUCCCACCAACUCUCUUAAUUUCCAUCAUUCUAGAGAAUAUUGCAACUAUCUAGAAAGCUUUCCAACUACCUCAUUAAUCAAGCUAAUUGAUUUAGCACAUUAUUCAACAUAUUCCCCCCUUAAUGUGUUGUCCUUGAACUCCAAGCAUCUCUUGAAAAUAGUUGAACUUGUCUUUUGGAAGUGCCUUGGUAAAGAUGUCUGCAACUUGGUCUUCACUCUUGCAAAAUUUUAGUUCAACUUCACCAUCUUCAAUUGCAUCUCGAAUAAAAUGGUGCUUGCUUGCAAUAUGGCGAGUUCUGCUAUGAUAAACUGGAUUUUUGGCAAUGUCAAUUGCUGAUUUGUUGUCACAGAACAUCACCAUAGCUUCCUUUUGCUUCUCACCAAUAUCUUCAAGAAUUCUCCUAAGCCAAAUGGUUUGUGAUGUUGCCAAACUUGCGGAUACAUAUUCAGCUUCAGCUGAUGAUUGUGCCACGCUUUGUUGCUUCUUUGAUGCCCAAGAAAAUACUCCAGAACCAAGCGAAAAACAAUAGCCUGAGGUGCUCUUCAUAUCAUCAAGGCAUCCAUCCCAAUCACUAUCAUAAUAACCAUGCAGAUUUAAAGUAGUGCUUUUGCUGAAUUUGAUGCCAUAAUCGAGUGUCCCUUUGAUGUAUCUUAACACUCUCUUGGCUGCUCCAAGAUGUAAUUGACUGGGAUUGUGCAUAAACCUUGAUAAUAAACUUGAAGCAAACAUGAUAUCUGGCCUUGUAGCUGUGAGAUAAAGCAAAUUUCCCACCAAACUUCUAUACAAAAUGUAAUCAACUUUCUUUUCACCAUCUUUCUUGACAAGCUUUUCACUUACAACAAGUGGUGUAGCCAUAGGUUUACAAUCAGCCAUGCCAAAUUUCACAAGAAUAUUUUCAGCAUAUUUCUUUUGACAAAUAAAAGCUCCAUCACCAUGUUGAUAAAUCUCCAUACCAAGAAAAUGAUGUAGCAGUCCCAUAUCAUUCAUUUCAUAUCUUUUCAUCAUGUCUUUCUUAAAAUCAGCAAUCAUCUUCUCAUUGUUACUAGUGUAAAACAAAUCAUCAACGUAUAAAGCAACAAUGAGAAUGUUUGAGUUACCUUGAGUUUUCACAUAUAAGGUUGGCUCACUUUUACUCUUCUUGAAUUCUUGCUCCAUGAAGUAAGAAUCAAUUUGACUAUACCAAGCCCUUGGAGCUUGUUUUAAUCCAUAUAAUGAUUUCUUCAACUUGUACACUUUGUCUUCUUGUCCUUCUUUGACAAAACCUUGAGGUUGUUGAACAUUCACCUCUUCCUUCAAUUCUCCAUUCAAAAAGGCAGAUUUAACAUCAAGUUGGUAGAGAUUCCAACCUUUUUGGGCUGCUAUGGCAAUGAGAGCUCUAAUUGUAUCAAAUCUUGCAACCGGUGCAAAUGUUUCAUUGUAGUCAAUUCCGGGCUGUUGUGAAUAACCCUUAGCAACAAGUCUUGCCUUCUUCUUUUGGAUUGAACCAUCUGGAUUCAUCUUAACUUUGUAAAUCCAUUUGACACCAAUGACCUCCUUGUCUCGAGGCUUUUCAACUAGCUUCCAAGUCUCAUUUUUCUCAAUUGCAUAAAUUUCAUCUUCCAUUGCCUUUCUCCAAUCCUUUUCUGCAUAUGCUUCUUCAAAAUUUUCUGGUUGAAGAAUGCAAAAGUUGCAUCUUGCAUAAACAUCACUUAAACUCCUCAUUUUCAUUGCAAUUGUGUUUGGAGAACUCCAACUCGAACUUGAAUUUGGAGAUGAUGGUGGACUGCUUGUUGGUGUUGAAUCAUCACCAUUUUCUUCUUCAUUUGUUGAAUUUUCUUCUUCUUUAUGAUGGCAAACACCCUGCUUCACAAUCUUUUUCUCAUCCCAAUUCCAAGCAGCAUUUUCAUCAAAUACAACAUCUAGACCAAUAAUGAUUUUGUUAGUCUUCAAAUUAAACAAUCUAUAACCUUUAGACUUGGAGCUAUAACCAACAAAAAUACAUUUCACUUACUUCGUCAAGCUUGUACCUCUUUUCUUUUGGAAUUUGAGCAUAGCAAAUGCUCCCAAAAACCUUCAAGUGUUUCACUGAUGGUUUCCUUCCACUCCAUGCUUCAAUUGGAGUUUGAUUCCACACGGCCUUUGUAGGACUUCUAUUGAGCAAAUACGCAGCUGUAUAAACGGCUUCAGCCCAAAAUUCCUUUGGCAACCCUUUGUCAUGUAACAUGGAUUUUGCCAUCUCCAUCACAAUUUGGUUCUUUCUUUCUGAGACUCCAUUUUGUUGUGGUGUAUAGUGUGAGAACCCGUAAUUUCCCUAAUAAUUUUCCUAGGGUUUUUCCCUUUAAUGGCAUGUUUUCUGCAUUUUCCGGCUUAGGAAAAUUUUUUCCUGUUAAAUUUUAUGAGUAAUUAUAGUUUUUAGAUGAUUUUCUAGCAUUGGAGAGUUUUUGAAAAAUUAAGGAUAUAUAAUGGACGUGGGACCCACUAGUGCAAAAAGUUCGAAAAAAUUCGUCCAAUUAGGUUAAGUUUCGGAUACUGUGUGAAAUUUAUUGGGUGUUAAGAGAUAAGUAGAGGUUGAGAUGUGAUUGAUGUGAGAGGAAACAAAAGGAUUGGCAAGCAUUUAUGGAAGUGACAAGUGUCACCUUGUGAGACGUGGAGACUUGGUGACAACUAUUCACCUUUUUGACCUUUUUGACUAAUUGGUUAAAUAUCUCAAAAAUUAACCAAAAUUCACUCUUUUCUUUCACCAUUGUGGCCGGCCAACCUUAAGGGAGAAAGGAAGAAAACCUCUUCAACUUCUUGAUUUCUUCUUGCUCCAAUCCAAUAACUCAACCAUCUAAACUUGUUUCUACUCCAUAAAAUCUCUCCAUUUGGUGAUAGUGGUUAGUUUGGUGAAGUUUUUGGAGAAGCUAAGGUGUCCAACAACUCUACCUCUCUUGUUUUCUAGGUGAGUGGUUAUUGAACUUCCUCCUACACUUAAUGAAGCUUAAGUUGUGCUUAGUGGUAGCUAAAGUGCUGAAAUUGGUGGUUUAUUUCUUGUUUUUGGAUGAUUUGAUGAAGUUUUCAAUUUAAUGGUUAUUUUUCUGGUUUAAUGUGAUCAUGAUGUUGUGGCCUUGUAUGAUGAUUGGCAAUGGCCUAUAAUGACUCUAGUAGGUGUGAAUGAUUGGUAAUUGCAACCAAUUUUGGAUUUGGAAGGAAAUGUGAAAAGUUAGGGUUUCAUAACCCCUUUUCUGUCUGAUUUUGUAUCAUAUGGUUAGAGGCCGAAUUGGCCUUUACUUAAAACAUGAAAGUUGUAGGUAUUGAUGUGUUUGAGGUGCCUGUAAAAUUUCAGGUCAUUUGGAGUAGUGUACAGUGAGAAAUGUCGAAAUUACUAUUGCUGUUCUGGGUUCAUCAGGAUGGCAGAACUGCGCCUGUAAUUGGCUGUUUUGACUGGAAUUGCUUUGGAUUUGGUUGUUGAGGUCUUCUGAUGAAAUGUAUCUUGAUGUCUUAGCUACCAUAUGCCUUUGGAAUUUCCGAAUUUGGACCUGUACAGACUGAGUUGUACUAAUUACAGCAUAGUGUAAUUUGUAAACCUGUUUUGGUGGUUCUGGUUUAGUAUCUUGCAUAUUUGACCUGUUUGUACUAGGAAUUGGACUGAGUGACCUUCUACAUUGUUGUAUCCCUGGUUCUUAGCUUUGAAACGGUGGGUCUUACACCCUCAUCCGAUAAUCGUAGUGAAAUUGGUGCCAUUACCGUAAAAUAAGGACAAAACUGUUUUUUUAUUCAGGGCCAAAGCUAAUGCCAUUUCUUGAAUUUCUGGUUACUCAUGAUGCUUGUAUAUGUUUAUAAAACCCUAUUGGGGUUGUGAUUGGCAUUAUUUUAUGACUCGUUAUCGAGUCUCAUUGUAGGGCGUGACGGUGGUUCACGACGCACUUUUGACCACGGUGUAUGAAACAUCACUUACUUGAUUGGUGAGUAUACUACUCACUUAAAUGUUACAAUGUGGCUUCGUUAUAUGUGAAUUUGAUGCCUUGAAGGCUUAUUUGGCUAUUGGAAGUGAUUGAGGUGAGGGUGUACUUGACCGCCCUCACCCCCUUAUGAUUCCAUUCAUGACUGUUUACCGUUUUACUGAAAUACUGCACUUGCUAUAUGAGAUAUUGAAUUCCAUUCAUGGAAAACUGAUUUGGUGUCGUUUGGACGAAUAUCCAACGGCCUUGCUGUAUUACUGAGCUCAACCCCGUAGGUAGUCAAUUGAAUCGAGCCGGCGAGGGCUUGGUCGUGAAAAUUGACAUGCCAAGGGGACUGUACUGGGGAAUCUUGUAGUAAUGAGACUCUUGGUUCCGGUAUAGUCGAGUAUUACCAAAAGCUACUGAUUGGAGUGCGGGCCCGGUUGGGGAAUGUUGGGUGGAAGGAAUGGAAGUGAAGUGAGGUCUACGGUUUGGUACUUUUAACAUUGACGGAGGGUCAAUGAGGUUGGAUCAAGACUGUAAGCGUGGAAAUGGGCUCUUGAGAGCCGUCCGUGUCCUUUUACCGUUUUGUUUCAUUCCUUAAUUGUGUACUUUAAUUGAAAGGUCAUGCUCUAUGCUCUUUGUUGCUUAUGUGGUAGUAACUCACUGGGCUUAAGCUCAUUCCGUUCCAUUUGUUUUCCAUACAGGAAAAUGACCACUUUUGGAAAAGAUUGUGUUAGUUGGUUGUCAAGUUGAGCUGAUGUAAAUGUAUCUUUUGAAUAGCUCUUUGAAUGAAACCCUAAUGUGUAUUGGGUUCAUUUUCUCUUGAUUGGCAAACCGAACAUGUAUAUUCAUGAUGAAUGGUUUUUGUGGCAUGCCAUUUGGUUGUAAAUGUUGAAUGUCAAUGUAUGUAUAUGUUGGAUUGAUGUUUGGUUGAACUCCGGAUUCUGACGUGUCCGGCACUGUUCAUCAUCGGCUUCGAUUUUCGUUUUUUUUAUUUUGUGAUUUUGACCUGUUUGCGCGCGUUGGUGUGUUCCGGAACGUAGUAGAUCGAUGUAAACUGAUCCGUUAGUCCUGGCGAGAGCUGGGCAGGCAGUCCGCUAACCCCUUUGGUUCGCCUUAGGGGAAGGUGGGGCUGUCACAUAUAGCCAAUGGUUAGCUGCCUCUCCAAACCUUCAUCUUCACAAAAUUUUUGGACUGCAUUUGACGUGUACUCCUUACCACGAUCACUCCUCAACUUCUUGAUGUAACAGCCACUUUGUUUCUCAACAAGAGUUUUAAACUUCUUGAAAAUUGAAAGCACCUCGGAUUUUUCUUUCAUGAAAUAGACCCAAGUCAUUCUUGAAAAAUCAUCAAUGAAAAGGAUGAAAUACUUGUUACCUGUGACGGCCCCACCUCUCCCUAGGGCGUACCCCAGGGUUCGGCGGCUCGCCUGCCCAGCUCUCACCGGGACUCAGUCGUUCACUACAGUCCUCAAAUAGAUUACAAUAUAAAUCUCAAAUUUUACAUCAAAUUCUCCAAUAAUUACAUGUCAUAAGCGAAGCGGAAACAAUUCCCAACUAUACAUAAAAUGAUUCCAAAUCCAAACUGUACAAAAUAUAUGCCAUCCGGUCAUACGAAUAAUUGUACAAGCCUUCCUUCGCCACGAGCCCUGUGGAGGGGAACAAAAUAUUUUUGGGGUGAGCUAAAAGCUCAGCGAGUAACCAGUAAAAUCAGUAAUCAAAUCAGUUUCACAAUAUUUCAUUUCAAUGAUGUCAUCAAUCAAACGAUAAGUCAAGAAACAAUUACAACAUUUACAAGAAACCAUACAUGAAAAGGAUACGUUCGUUCGUUCAUUCGUUCCUUCGUUCGUUCUCCUGUAAUUCCCCUUUCCUUCAUUCAUUUGAAAAUGCAUUUUUCAUUUAUCAAUAAAACCCUCGUUCGUUCGUUCGUUCAUUCAACCUUUCCUGGACAUUGACCAGGCUCCACCAACCUCCACCAACCUACAAGGUAAUACUCGAGUAUACCAAACGUUCACCCAGGUCACCAUAUCGCCCGACCAAGUCCGCUUCUGCCUCGAGUCGAUCGGUAACAAGGGGCAGUGGCCAGUUCAGCCAAAAAGGCUUACAUUCAUGCACAAGUAACAUUUCAAUCGUUCCAUCUUUGAAAAUUUCACAUUUAUCGAGGUCGAGUGCGAUAAAUUACAAACUCGCCUAGAAAACUCGUUUUGGAAAUUAUUGAAAGCACUUAACACGUUAUCAAACGAUAAUACAAGUCAUGAAGUCAAGAAAAUAUAGCAAACAAGGAACACUCACAUGCAAGCACGCAUGAUAUGCAAUCGAGUAAAUAAUGCAAGAAAACAGUUCAAAAGUAACUUUGGAAAUAGUUUGAGGUCACUCACCUCCACGGCUCAGGAACCACCCAUCAUAUAUCAUUGUCUUGCUCAAAUCCAAGUCGUAGAUCACAAACUCAAUGCAAUCAAGUCCUUUCAAAGUUCGGACAGCACUUCCACUAAAUUUGCUUACUUUUCCAGCCGUCAAGGCUUCAUUAUUUCCUCAGCCAGUCCCAAAGUCACACAAAUAAGUUCAUUCAAUAACUGUUCAAUAAGCUCCAAGUAGUACAAGUACAAUUCAAGCUAGGGAAGAGUCCGGAAAUGAAAGUUAAGCUCUAAACCAUAAAAACAGUUUUUUGACAUCAGUUUACGGUUUUGGCACCAUUGGCACUACGAUUAUCGGAUGGAGGUUUAAGAUACACCGUUUCGAAGCUAAGAGAUAGGGCUACAAUAUUGCAGAAGGUUACUCAGUCCAGAUCAUAGUGUAGCUAGGUCAAAAUUGACAUAUAUGAAACCAGAAUCUCAUAAACAGGUUGGCUAACCGCACAAUUGUUAACAGCAAUAACUCAGGCUAACGAAGUCCGAUUGAAGUGUAUCUUAUGGUGUUUCGAAGCUAAAACACAACCCUACAUUUCUUAUGAAGACCUACCAGGCCAAAUCAUGUAUUUUAAGGAUCAAAAAUGGAAAACUAAACGAAAACAGAAUUCUGGGCGCGAAACAGGUUUCAUGGACAGUCAAUGGUAUUUCGGUCAUUUCACAUGCUACAGUGGUCGGAUCAAGCUGAAAUUUUGUAGGAAACUAUUUUAUACCCUUGGCUACAACUUUUAUGUUUUGGCCAAAAUCUAAUUCUGUAAGAAUCAUGGUGAAAAGUCACGAUCAGAUUGGGUGAAAAUACAACCUUGUUCACUGAACUCCUACCUAGACCAGUCUGGGUAUUUCCGUCUUAUCUCAGGCUACCCAGCUCGGAUUGGGCUGAAAAUUUACAGGCAACUAGAAAACAUCAUUCUAUACAACUUUCAUGUUUUGUGCUAAGGCCAAUUCAGCGUCUAACUAGGUGGUACAGUGCCGAGCAGAAUUGGGGAAAUGAAACCCUAACUGGAAAUGUUUGCAUUCAAGCCAAACAUUUUCCACUAAAACAUCUCUUUAGCUAUCACAAGUCAUUAAUUUAACAUAAUCAAGAACAAAGGAAGGAUGGCUAGACAUGAUACCUUCAAAUAUCAAGAAAGGUGAUGACUUAGGGAUUUUUCUUCCAAAGCAACUCCACCAAGAGCUUCAAUCUUCCUUAGCUAGCAAGUUUUAUGGAGUGGGUUGCAAUUUAAUCGGUUGAAACUCAAGAUUUGGACAAGAAUUGAAGCAACAAGAUGAAGGAAUUUUUCUCUCCUUUUCUCUAAGAGGUUCGGCCAAGAGCAUGAAAGAAAUGAAGAAAGUUUGUCCAAUUUUUCCAAGAUAAAGAUCAAAAAAGUCUUGGUCAAAAGUCAAGGUCCAAUGGUUUUGUGACAAAUGGUCCUUUAGGGUUUUAAUCUUAUCUUUUUGUCUCUCCAGUAAUAAUCCAUCUAAGUAACAUCUAAUUAUCUCUUAGCACCUUGUAAAAUAAUCACAGUAUCCCAAACUUAACCUAAUUGGCCGAAUUUUUCCGAACUUUCCGCACUAGCGGGUCCCACGUCCGGUAUAUGCUCUUAAUUUCUCAAAAACUAACUGAUAUUAGAAAAAUCAUCUAAAAACCAUAUUUACUCAAUAAAAUUAUCUGGGAAAAUUUUCUAAUAAAGAAAUUGUCAAAAAGGCGGGCGAUCAAUAAAAUAAACCCUAGAAACUUAGAAAAUUUCCGGGUUCUCGCACUCAUUCUUUCGGGGCAUCACAUUACCUCCAUGAGAAGUUGUCUUCAUGGGCCCACAAAUAUCCGUAUGAAUCAGCUCCAAGAUCUUCUUGGCUCGCCAUGCAGCUUCUUUAGGAAAUGGUUGCCGGUGUUGUUUGCCAAGUGCACAACCUUCACAAACUUCAUGUUUCUCCUCAAUUCUUGGUAAACCAUAUGCCAUCCCUCUUUGUUGAAGCACUUUGAGGCUAUGAAAAUUCAAAUGGCCAUACCUCUUGUGCCACAACCAUGAAUCUUCAUUGACAUUUACUUUCAAGGCUUGAUUUUCACUAUAAUUGAAUUUGAUUGGAAAGCUUCGAUUUGCUUGCAUUUGGAUUUUCAUCACAAGCUGUCUACCAUUCUUUUUGUCAUAGAUGCAGCACUCAUGAUCAUCAAAGUUAAGUGCAUAUUUAUGCUCAAGAAGCUGUCCAAGACUCAAUAAAUUUUGGUCUAAAUCAGGAACAAACAAAACAUCACAAAUGAACUUCAUACCUUGCUUGGUUUGGACACCAAUUGUUCCCAAUCCUUGUGCUUGAACUAUGACUCCAUUGCCCAUCUUCACUUCAGUCUUUAUAGAUUCAUCCAAGUCAAUAAAAAUGGAUCUAUCUCUUGUCAUAUGAUUGCUACAACCGCUGUCAAGGUACCACAUAUUGUUCUUGACUUUAGUGGCUGUGUGACAAGCGUAGAAUAAGUUUCUUUCUCCUUGCUUGUCUUCCGAAAAUUGUGCUUGGUGAUUGGUCUUGAAUCUGCAAUCCUUCUCAAUAUGACCAAACCUCUUGCAAUAGUAGCACUUUGGUUUGUCUUUAUGCCAACAGUCUUUCUCAAGAUGGUUGGUCUUACCACAGUAGCUGCAAGAUUGUGAAUUUUCAGCAUUAAAGCCUCUUUGAAGGUUGUUUCUUCCUCUUCCUCUUGAAUUUUUGCCUUUGCCUCUUCCACGGCCAUAUCUACCUCCUCUUUGUGAGUCUCCACCUCUUUGGUAGUUGCAAGAUGGCUCUCGUUCAUUGGUUUUAGGGGUGACAUUCAGCUUUGAUUGGAAUGCGCUUUCAAUAGAUUUUUCAGCAUGUCUAGCCAAUCUUCUCUCAUGAGCUUUCAACGAUCCCAUCACCUCUUGAAAACUCAUUGAAGCAAUAUCUUUUGUCUCCUCAAUUAUGGAUACCAUUGGAUCAAAUUUUGGAGGCAAACUAACAAGAAUUUUUUCAACAAUUCUGCUAUCACUAAUUUCUUCACCAAAGGUUUUCAUUUCAUUUACAAUUGUGGUGAUUUUUGUGUAGUAAUUUUGAAUACUUUCAUCAUCACCCAUCUUCAAAUUUUCAAGAUCUCUUCUAAGAGUUUGAAGAGUAACAUUCUUUACCUUAAGAUUUCCUUGAAACUCCUUUUGUAGAAUCUCCCAUGCUUCCUUGGCAUGAUCAGCUCCCAUAAUUCUUGAAAAAAUAUCUGAACUCACACCUUGCUAGAUGUGUGAAAGAGCCUUUGCAUCCUUCUUCCUAUGCUCUUUAAGUGCCUUUAAUUCUUGAUUGGUGAGACCUUCUUCACUUUUUGGUUCUCUAUAGCCAUUCUCUACAUAUUCCCACAAAUCUUGUGAUCUAAAAAUUGUUCUCAUUUUUACGAACCAAUGAUCAUAGUGCUCACCAGAGAAUAUGGGAAUUGGAAGACCAUCACUAGUAUGAUUGGCCAUCUUGUAGUUAGAAAUCUCUCAAAAUUUUCUGGUUUUGGGGUAUGAACUAAGGCAAUGAAACCUUAGCUCUGGUACCAAUCUGUUGGAUAUUAGGCCAAGAAUUGAGAGGAAUAUUUGGAGACAAGGGUGGCUUCAAUUGUUUCUUUCUUUUAUUUCUUUCACUCUCUUAUAUUGGUUUGGAGUUUACAAGGUCAAUUUAUACUUGUAAAUGAUCAUUCUAGAUACAUAGAGAAAUGUUCCAACCAUCCCACCAACUCUCUUAAUUUCCAUCAUUCUAGAGAAUAUUGCAACUAUCUAGAAAGCUUUCCAACUACCUCAUUAAUCAAGUUUAAUUGAUUUAGAACAUUAUUCAACAAAGAGAAAAACAAAAACUCUCUCUUACUUAUAACAAUGGUUAAGUGACAGGACUCUCUAUCCCAUAAGACAACACCAUAAAGAUUGUACAUAUGGAAUGCGAUCAUAUUAGCAUUAAUGCAUCUGAUCUCAUCAGAAUCCUGAAGAUUUUGUACAUAUAUGUCAUAUAGAAAUAGAGAGACAGAAGUCAUAUUAGUUAUCUCCAAAUAGAGAUAAAGGUCUCCUUGCCGCUCUUGUGAAAUAUGCUGAAGUGCUUGUAUUUGCCGAGUUCGUAGAAGUAAGGGAGGCAGAUAAUGCACUCAUGCGGACAUUAGCAUGAGAAUCAUUCAUGCUAGCUUCUUUCUCAUCUUCUUUUAUCGUAUCCAACAUCUUUGUGGCUCGUUGCCUCAUAACUUGAACGAAUUGUGGAGGUGCUGCCUCUGUUACAAAUCUAGCAAUUCUGAAAUUUGCCAUAUUUUCUUGCUUUUCUCUUGGAAGUACUACUAUGAAGUAAAGUAGGAGGGAUUACAAGAUUGUCUGGACUUAGGGUGGAGAUAAGGUAUAGUUGGUGGAUAACCAAUGUAACCCGUUAAGAUGGGAAUAUAUAGGGGUGUUUGGGGAAGGGGGCGGUGGAAUGGUUGGUUCUCUUGUGGCUUAAAUUUCUUUCCAAUCUCUAAACGAAUUGAAAUAGCUAAUGACCAUUGGAUUGCAUC